GGCCCUCCUCACUAAUGCUCUGUCGUCAUCCUGAUUUGCAGCGACUCUGAGGACCCCGGAAAGUGAGAGGCAAAAUGGAGCUGUGUGUGGUCCAGGUACCUUCCUCAGCUCUGUUGGAGGUGUCCUCUCUCCUGAGCCUGGUAAGCAGAGUGCCCUGAAGAAAGCGCUGAGAGACAGAUGAUAACAAAGGCUCAAGAAGAUUAAGGAAUCGGCAGAUGUGGGAUGUGCAAUUUCCCUAUGGCUCGGUAGAUGAUCAAGUUAAACAGGC
RNAcentral lists this long non-coding RNA (268 nucleotides) under Homo sapiens (human). RNAcentral's name for it is "HSALNT0248837". Lineage: Eukaryota; Metazoa; Chordata; Mammalia; Primates; Hominidae. The record is from RNAcentral.